AUUGUCAACCCAAUAAAUUUUUUAAAAAUUGGAAUGAUACAGAGAUUAGCAUGGCUGCUGUGCAAGGAUGACACGAAUUCGUGAAGCAUUCCAUAUUUUU
Molecule: small nuclear RNA, 100 nt
Filed under: Rhinolophus ferrumequinum (greater horseshoe bat)
Lineage: Eukaryota; Metazoa; Chordata; Mammalia; Chiroptera; Rhinolophidae
Source: RNAcentral